GGGCUGGGGCUCAGUGGUAGAACGCUCGCCUAGCAUGUGUGAGGACCUGGGUUCCAUCCUCAGCAUCACA
Molecule: transfer RNA, 70 nt
Filed under: Marmota monax (woodchuck)
Lineage: Eukaryota; Metazoa; Chordata; Mammalia; Rodentia; Sciuridae
Description: tRNA.Ala
Source: RNAcentral